Molecule: long non-coding RNA, 936 nt
Organism: Peromyscus leucopus (white-footed mouse)
Lineage: Eukaryota; Metazoa; Chordata; Mammalia; Rodentia; Cricetidae
Exons: 2
Source: RefSeq, a predicted model, not a curated record
CUACACAGCCAAGAAUGUUUCCAUUUCCCCCGAGACACCCCUCAAGGAAGCUCUCUCUCCCACAGUAACAGCACAUGCAACCAAUCCAGAAGCCUACAGCCAUUCUCCAGUGUGCCCACUACUCAGAAGCAGAUGGAAACAGAAAUAAGGAGAUCCUGAGCCAAUAAAGAAUUGAAGAAAGAUACAUAUUUUAUCCCUUCUUGUGUAGAGAAAAGCAAUACAAUUUAUGCAAAAAGUCUACAAUAAGCAUCAGUAUUUGAGCACUUACUCUACAUGGUAAGCUCUUCUCAGUGUUGAGAGAAAGGGGCAUAGUACAUUAUGUCUUCCCAGAAUCUCAAAGGGAAAACAACUUCCAUGUUUUCAGGUACCACAGAAGGCUUAUUCCAGUUCAAUGAGCAGUAUAAACCAGGAGAAUAGAGUACUUUAGUUAGUGGUACCAACCAAGAAAGACAGGGAAGAGGACACAAGUUGGACAAGAGGAAAGAUGUCACCACGAUCUUUGGUAGGCCUUAAAAUAACUCACAUUUUUACAAGUUUAAAAAAAACUACUUUGAGAACAAAGAAGACGGUGUGGCAGAAAGCAGAAGCAUGGAGGAGCUGCAGGUAUUUCAGCAUCAGCCACACACUGGGGGUCUGCCAACCUCAAAGGAUGCUCUUUUCACUCUCAGAUCAAAAACCAAACGAGUAACUCGGGAAGAUUAUGUUAGCUGGUGUUUGGACAGUUUACCUCUUGUUGGACAGUAGUGAGAUGGGAAUCCAAAGAAUUAUCAAAACUUAUCAACUGACUAUAGAGAGAAAACAGGUAACAAAGAUGACUUAAACUUCGAAGGCUUUUUUUUUCCUGGCAACUUCCUAUUUUGUGGAGGAAGGAAAUGGUAGACUGUCAAAUGUGGCUUUAGUAGUGGUCACAGAAUUCAGAGCAGAGAAAGAGCUAAG